AAGUCGUAACAAGGUUUCCGUAGGUGAACCUGCGGAAGGAUCAUUACAAAUCUUUGUGAGUCUGCAUGCCUAACGGUGUGCAGUAUUCAACAUUAGCACAGGGUCGCAAGGCCCUGAUGUUUACGCUUGUUUGUUUGACAGAGUUAGUUGAGAAAAAAUAAAAGACAACUUUAAACAAUGGAUCUCUUGGCUCUU
This 195-nucleotide unclassified non-coding RNA is filed under the name Rozellomycota sp. RNAcentral describes it as "Cryptomycota sp. partial contains small subunit ribosomal RNA, internal transcribed spacer 1, and 5.8S ribosomal RNA". The stretch from base 1 to 46 matches the Rfam family "Eukaryotic small subunit ribosomal RNA", at positions 1786 to 1831 of the family's 1831-position model. Lineage: Eukaryota; Fungi; Rozellomycota. The record is from RNAcentral.